AGAGAAGGCGGGCGGCAGGCCUAACACAUGCAAGUCGAACGAACCUUUCGGGGUUAGUGGCGGACGGGUGAGUAACACGUGGGAACGUGCCUUUAGGUUCGGAAUAACUCAGGGAAACUUGUGCUAAUACCGAAUGUGCCCUUCGGGGGAAAGAUUUAUCGCCUUUAGAGCGGCCCGCGUCUGAUUAGCUAGUUGGUUGAGGUAAUGGCUCACCAAGGCGACGAUCAGUAGCUGGUCUGAGAGGAUGAUCAGCCACAUUGGGACUGAGACACGGCCCAAACUCCUACGGGAGGCAGCAGUGGGGAAUCUUGCGCAAUGGGCGAAAGCCUGACGCAGCCAUGCCGCGUGAAUGAUGAAGGUCUUAGGAUUGUAAAAUUCUUUCACCGGGGACGAUAAUGACGGUACCCGGAGAAGAAGCCCCGGCUAACUUCGUG
Molecule: ribosomal RNA, 434 nt
Filed under: uncultured bacterium
Lineage: Bacteria
Description: partial 16S ribosomal RNA
Rfam family: Bacterial small subunit ribosomal RNA
Source: RNAcentral